GCCGUUGGUGCUUCCUGUCUCUGGGCCCGCAGGUCAGCGCUAGGUGGAAAAAAUCUCCCCUCUUCCUUCCGAUUUGCCCUAACCCGUGCUCCAUUUCUUGCGAUUCACCGCCGCCGCCCAUCGCCCCCCUCCCCUCCCCUCCGGUCCCGGUGACCUAGCCCGUGGUCUCCGGCCUCCCAGGCACCUCCCUCCUGCGACCCGCGUCUGCACUUCGAUGGAGGAGGAGCACCCACCGGUUCGUCAGCGCGGCCCGCCUCCGCCGCCGCAUGGAGGCACCCAUUCCGGAGACGGAAUCGAUCACCUCAGUGCUCUACCCGACGACGUUCUCCACCUCAUCCUUGCCCGCCUCGAUCACCACCGUGAUGCCGUCCGCACCAGCAUCCUCUCCGGCCGGUGGCGUGCGCUGAUGAGCGGCCUCAGCAUGGCAAGGUUCAGUAUACAGCAGAUAAAGAUCAAGUCUGUUCGAAGGGCGAUCCGUGCGCUCGGGUUGGUACUCGGCGCGCUUGGGGCGCAGCGCCCCGCGUUCGGAGGAUUACGAGUACUCGAGAUCUGUGUUCCUUAUGGAAGGCGUAUCUACGCCAAGGACGUCUCGAAGGUCCUCUUUGCCGCCGCGGAGGUCUCGCCAGUGGAGGAGUUCCGUUUCAUUCUCCCGUGGAACGUAGAUCCGGAAUCCGAUAGCCCUGUGGUUCUCCCUGGUUUCCACCGCGCCAUCUCAGUCCAUCUUGAUGUGUCUUACCUUGUUGUUGCGAAGCUGGCUGGGAGCUUCCCCGUGCUCGAGCGAUUGACGCUCAAGGGCUUCCUGCUUGAUAUUCAGGCCUUACUCAGGCGCUGCCCUUGUCUGCGCGUGCUCAAGAUCAUAUCUCUUGAUGCCAGGCGCAUCGUCAUUCAGUCGGCGUCCCUGCAGGAACUCCAUAUUCUGAAUGCCGUGAAACGUUGCGAAUACGACACAUACAGUAUUGAUAUCGCAGCCCCCGCACUGAAGCAUUUAAACCUUUCCGUCUUCACCCACCACAACUGCAGCUUGAACAUCUCGGCUCCAAUGGUGGAGCAGUUCUCGUGGGAGUGCAAGUACGCCUACAUGGCAACUGGGAUUGGUGAACUGUGGCAACUCACGAGACUGAGCUUAAAGACAGGGGAGGGUGCUGUCACCAAUGAUGUGGAUGGCACUUGUCUGUCGCUGCAUAUAUCUGCCUACAAUACUUCACGUGCAACUGAAGCAGAACACACCUUUGAGCAGGAGAUACAAAACCUACCAGUUGGUGACCUAUGUACAUUGGAGCUGCAUCUUUCCCUUGGGCAGACGGGGCAUGCCUGGAGAUCCAUUGUGCUGCAUAUACUUGGCAUACAGUCUAUUCGUAUUGCUACCCAAAGGCUUAAGCUUGUUCUACGGAGGUCUGAGGUAAUUGGGUGGAAGGAGCUUGCACAGCAGAUUGUCCAUGCCAUGAGCCUAUGCAAAUUCCCUCCUUAGUCAAUCUUCAAGAAGUGGAAAUCAAAGGCUUUAGAGGAGAUGGCUACGAGUUCGAGUUCUUGCAAAUGGUAUCCGGGGCUGCACCAUUACUUGAAAAAACGACGACCAUCAGGUCUGCAGGGAACUAGAUGAUGCAUAUUGGACAGAAGGAUUAAAUACUCAAAUUCUGCUGUAAUGCUUCAAUUUCUUCCGUUAUUUGACAGCCAUUAGGUUUGGUAAGGAUGUUGGGCACUUCUAUUUUGCAAUGGACCUGCAAGGCAGAACCUGGCAAUAAUGCGCUUGGCAUUGUCUGAUGACUGAGUUCAAUAGAUACGAAGUAAAGAUUCUCAGUACACUGUUAUGCAUAUGCUGUGUUCUUCUCUAUGGUCAUUUGAGUAAAGUUUUGCAUGAUUUCUUUCUGAAAAUCAAAACGCAGAUACGCAUUCAAUCUUAAGAUUUGGGCUGGUGAUUGUUGUUGCAAGGCUUGUUAUGCAUAUGUUAUGUUCUUCUC
RNA transcript from Triticum aestivum (bread wheat), 1958 nucleotides. RefSeq lists it as uncharacterized. Lineage: Eukaryota; Viridiplantae; Streptophyta; Magnoliopsida; Poales; Poaceae. The transcript is spliced from 4 exons. The record is from RefSeq and is a predicted model, not a curated record.